Molecule: long non-coding RNA, 1646 nt
Organism: Drosophila ananassae
Lineage: Eukaryota; Metazoa; Arthropoda; Insecta; Diptera; Drosophilidae
Exons: 2
Source: RefSeq, a predicted model, not a curated record
GCAAAACGGCCCGGCCAGGGGAGUGGCUGGAGAAAAGAAAAAGCAAAGCACUUGUUCCAGCUUGAGCGGCUCAACAAGGUGUGCACUGCGAAAAAUGGGCUCUCUCAGGCUUAAAUAGUUUUUGGGAUAAUUCUUAGGCAAUCUACCAACCAACACUAAUUUUUUCUCCGUGUUCUUGGGGAUGUAUUUCAAGUGCGGAAGCGAGAACAGGGAACGGGGAACAGGGAAAGGGAGAGGCGAUUGCACCGGGCUGUGUCAGAUUCAGGUUUUGGUUUUUGGCGCAAAAAAUAUGUGUGCUCAAAAUUACUGGCAGCAGAGCAGAGCAGCAGGUAUUCACAUUCGUAUGUCCCUCAUCCCGGAUGAUGAGGGCAGCCGCAGGAAAAGGAGAAAAGGAAGCAGAAGCAGCAGCAGCCGCAGGAAUUGGCGCAAAAAUUUACAGAUGCCUCAAAAAAAAAAAAUAAAUAAACAUAAAUAAAUAAUAAUAAAAGAGAUAAAUGGGCACGGGCCUGUGAAACUUCUGAUGCAUAAAAGAAAAAACUUCCAAGCCACCUGCAAUCCAAAGUUCAAUUGAACUUUCUGGGCGAAUCUAUUAGAUAAUUGGCAGGCAUCUUUCAGAUACUCGGCUGAGGCACGUUCACUGCCACGUGCUGUAAUGCGCUUGUUGUAACUUAACAACAAACCAAAUUCCUAAAAGUAAACCUCAUUUAGUUAAGCUUGGAAUAACCGAAAAUACAAAACAAAAAAAACAAAAAGCUUGGUUAAGCUUAAAGUUUCUUAUCUAUUGAUAAUCAAUUAUCUACCCAGAAUUGAGCAUUUAAGUAUCGGUCUAAGCAUAGAAUAAGCAGCGGCCAACUUCUUUUCUCUUGUGGCUGCUAAGAUAAGCGCAUCGCUCGCGGUUAAACUCCAGUAUAUAUUUAACCCCCGGAAAAAAAAAAAGACACGUGGUGGGGAAUUUCCACAUAAGUUUCCCAAAACUAAACGCAGAGGGAAGUGAGCAGCGCUCAGUGUAUUAAAAGUGAAUUACAUUUUUGCGGUGCCAAUUCAAGGUCGAAUUGGCACCCAGUAAGAACCCAUUUGUGUAUUGUUCUUACAUUGGGAAUAAGUAUACAAUCCCCCAAGCAGCCAGUUUACCCUAAGAAGGGCUUCCAGCGCCACGCCGCGGGAUCUGAUGGAUUUAUUAUAAAUUAGUGUGAGAGACACAAUUUUCUUUUGGGAUUAAGGUGCAUGUGCAAUAAUUUUCCCUCAUUAAUUAAAACCCGCCAAUGGCCAGCAUAUGCACCCGAAUUAUUCUCAUCCAAUGACGUCACUCAUCGCCCGAGACAGUUACGCUUGUCCCGUAUUGGUUUCCGGAAUUAUUAAUUUGAUUUAGUUAUUUUUAUUUUGGUAGUAUUUAGUUUUUUUUUGGAGCUUGGCGUUUAAUAAUGUAAGAAAAUAACGUUUCCAGUUCCCUUAAUUUUGUAUUUCUUUUUUUUAUUACUUAAAUACUAAAACUGAACGGUAUGGAAAUAUUAAUUAAUUUGGUGAAUAUAUAUAUAUAUACAUACAUAAAAAUAACCUCUAUGCCCUAAAAUUAUAGAUUCAUCGCUCAACCCGACAAAAGAUCUUUUGGACGUGGAAAUUAAACUCGAUGUAAGUGAAAAAAAAAA